Meriones unguiculatus (Mongolian gerbil) is the source of this 355-nucleotide long non-coding RNA. RefSeq lists it as uncharacterized. Lineage: Eukaryota; Metazoa; Chordata; Mammalia; Rodentia; Muridae. The transcript is spliced from 3 exons. The record is from RefSeq and is a predicted model, not a curated record.
CUCAAACUCAGAACUCCACCUUGCUCCAUCUCCUGGUUUGAGGAUCAGAGGUCUGUGAUACCAGCCAGAUUCCAUGUGUUUUAGUGCAAGGAGGAGCAAAGACAUGGUGCCCGAGGAGGCAAGAAAACAGUGUCAGAAACUGAAGUUAAAGAGAGUUGUGCAGGUGAAAGACAAAAGCCAAUGUCAGAUGUCUUCCUUAACCCCUCUUCACUUCACCUCCUCAGAAGAGUUUCUCACUGAACCUGAAGAUUGCCAAUUUGGCUAGUCAAGUGGCCAUAAAGCCUCAAGGAUCACUUUUUCUGGAUUCAGUCAGUGAAAUGAUUCCUAAUUAUGUUCUGCUAUAUUCAUAGAUCAG